This 423-nucleotide ribosomal RNA is filed under the name uncultured fungus. RNAcentral describes it as "eukaryotic LSU rRNA". It matches the Rfam family "Eukaryotic large subunit ribosomal RNA", at positions 1 to 422 of the family's 3401-position model. The record is from RNAcentral. Lineage: Eukaryota; Fungi.
GACCUCAAAUCAGGUAAGACUACCCGCUGAACUUAAGCAUAUCAAUAAGCGGAGGAAAAGAAACCAACAGGGAUUGCCUUAGUAACGGCGAGUGAAGCGGCAAAAGCUCAAAUUUGAAAUCUGGCAGUAAUGUCCGAGUUGUAAUUUGAAGAAGGUAACUUUGGUGAUAGCUCUUGCAUAUGUUCCUUGGAACAGGACGUCAUAGAGGGUGAGAAUCCCGUAUAUGGUGAGAUGACAUAUUGCUAUGUAAAGUGCCUUCGAAGAGUCGAGUUGUUUGGGAAUGCAGCUCUAAGUGGGUGGUAAAUUCCAUCUAAAGCUAAAUAUUGGCGAGAGACCGAUAGCGAACAAGUACAGUGAUGGAAAGAUGAAAAGAACUUUGAAAAGAGAGUGAAAAAGUACGUGAAAUUGUUGAAAGGGAAGGGC